Lingula anatina is the source of this 610-nucleotide long non-coding RNA. The record is from RefSeq and is a predicted model, not a curated record. NCBI's taxonomy places the organism in Eukaryota, Metazoa, Brachiopoda, Lingulata, Lingulida, Lingulidae.
GUGAGUGGAUAUUCUGCCCAGAGGAUCAUCACCCACCGUCUCUGUACUUUGCCAGUAGUAAGCUAAAUGUGUGGGCUAAUACUGCAGACACCGUCCAGGAGGCCCUGGGCAGGACCAGCAGACUACUGGGGCAGUACUUUGAGGAGCAACACAGGGACCUGGUGGCACAGGUCACAGGCCAGGUUGUGUUUGAUGCACUGGGCCAGGCAGACAUCCAAGGCAUCAGUGUGGUCACAGAGGCUCUGGUUGAGGGACUGGUCUCAUUAGGCCAGCAGAAAAAUGUGAAGCCUCUGCAGUACCUUGGACAGUAUCUUCUUGGGCUAUCUGGAUAUGAAGUCCUGCUUCCAGAACAACAACAAGCAGCUGAUGGGAAUUUUGCACACAAGGCUGGUGCUGGGGGCCUGACAGCUAAACUGCAGGCAGAGGAGGAGGAAAGUGAAGAAGAGGAGGAAGAAGAAGAGGAGGAGGAAACUGAAGCAGCCAAACAAAAGGCAUUUCUUUUGGGAGCAGGAGAUCAUGGUGAAGUGGAGGAGCAUACUGUGGAUGCCAAAAAAGAAAAGAAGAAAAAUAAGAACGAGGAUAAAAAGAAAAAGGAUAAAAAGAAAGACAA